CAAUAGCGUAUAUUAAAGUUGUUGCGGUAAAAAAGCUCGUAGUUGGAUUUCUACCGAAGAUAGCCGGUCGGGUCUUCGACCUUGUAUCUGGUUUUGUCUUUGGUAUCCUCAUAGGGAACGUUUCUGCGCUUUAUUGCGUGGUGCGGUAUCUAUGACUUUUACUUUGAGGAAAUUAGAGUGUUCACGGCAGGCAAACGCCUUGAAUAUAUUAGCAUGGAAUAAUAACAUAGGAUCUUCGUCCUAUUUUGUUGGUUUCUAGGGCUAAGAGAAUGAUUAAUAGGGAUAAUUGGGGGCAUCUGUAUCAACGCGUCAGAGGUGGAAUUCUUGGAUUGCGUUGCGACAAACUACUGCGAAAGCAUUUGCCAAGGAUGUUUUCAUUGA
Molecule: ribosomal RNA, 381 nt
Filed under: uncultured eukaryote
Lineage: Eukaryota
Description: partial 18S ribosomal RNA
Rfam family: Eukaryotic small subunit ribosomal RNA
Source: RNAcentral